CAGCAGUCGCCGCGGUAAUACGUAGGGUGCAAGCGUUAAUCGGAAUUACUGGGCGUAAAGCGUGCGCAGGCGGUUUGUUAAGACAGAUGUGAAAUCCCCGGGCUCAACCUGGGAACUGCAUUUGUGACUGGCAAGCUAGAGUGUGGCAGAGGGGGGUGGAAUUCCGCGUGUAGCAGUGAAAUGCGUAGAUAUGCGGAGGAACACCGAUGGCGAAGGCAGCCCCCUGGGCCAACACUGACGCUCAUGCACGAAAGCGUGGGGAGCAAACAGGAUUAGAUACCCCCGUAGUCCCUGUCUCUUAUAA
This 304-nucleotide ribosomal RNA is filed under the name uncultured bacterium. RNAcentral describes it as "partial 16S ribosomal RNA". It matches the Rfam family "Bacterial small subunit ribosomal RNA", at positions 509 to 809 of the family's 1533-position model. The record is from RNAcentral.